CCCUACGGGGGGCAGCAGUGGAGAAUAUUGGGCAAUGGACGCAAGUCUGACCCAGCAACGCCGCGUGAAGGAAGAAGGCUUUCGGGUUGUAAAGUUCUUUCGACAGGGAAGAAAAUGCCUAUAAGUAACUGUGUAUGUAUUGACGGUACCUGUAUAAGCAGCCCCGGCUAACUCCGUGCCAGCAGCCGCGGUAAUACGGAGGGGGCGAGCGUUGUUCGGAGUGACUGGGCGUAAAGAGCACGUAGGCGGUGUUGUAAGUCAUUAGUCAAAGACUAGAGCUCAACUUUAGUAAGGCUAGUGAUACU
RNAcentral lists this ribosomal RNA (305 nucleotides) under uncultured bacterium. RNAcentral describes it as "bacterial SSU rRNA". It matches the Rfam family "Bacterial small subunit ribosomal RNA", at positions 337 to 634 of the family's 1533-position model. The record is from RNAcentral.